AUUGCCACGUCUGUCUGCCUGUCAGCACAGCGUUGGAGCCCCUUGGUAGACUUACUUGAUGCCAAGUACCCCCCUGGUGUCUGUGGUCAUUGUGCAUAGAUCUUGGUCUAAAAGGCUGCCUGAACUUCCUCCAUACGUGUCACCACUGCCACCCUCCCUCACCCCACCCCAAACACACACACAGGCCUUAUCUCUAAACUAAAAGGCUGUCUAGUUCCACCUUUCCCACUGCAGUCAACCCUCCCAUAAUUAUAAUAAUUGUGGCCAUCACUGAAUGGCCACCUCUGUGUACCAGGCCCUGGGUCAGAGCAUGUCAUAAGCGUUAUGUCUUGGAAGGGGCUCUUCAUUUCUCCUUUUUUUUUUUUUUUUUUUUUUUUGAGACAGAGUUUUGCUCUUGUACCCCAGGCUGGAGUGCAAGGCACGAUCUCAGCUCACUGCAACCUCCACCUCCCAGGUUCAAGCGAUUCUCCUGCCUCAGCCUCCCAAGUAACUGGGAUUAGGUGCCCACCACCACACCCGACUAAUUUUUUUUUUUUUUUUUUGUAUUUUUAGUAGAGACAGGGUUUUGCCAUGCUAGCCAGGCUUGUCCUGAACUCCUGACUUCAGGCCCACCUCGGCCUCCCAAAGUGCUGGGAUUACAGGCAUGAGCCACCAUGCCUGGCACAUUUCUCCAUUUUUAUUGAAAAGGAUACUGAAGUCUGAAAGAAGAAGUCACUUACUUACCCCAGAGCACACAGCUAGUAAGUGGCAGAGGCAGGACUUGGACCCCAGCUGGCUGACUCCAGAGACCAUGUUCCCACAGCUGGUGGAGAUAGCAGGUCCAGCCACAAAGCUGGUAGCACUCGGCCCCUCCUGUGGAGAAGCUCCCAGUCUGGCAGAGCAGACACGGUGCAGCACAAAGCCUCUAGCUGAGAUAGUGAAGUAAAACUAACAUGUACAGGGACAUCUGAGGAGGAAGUGAUUCUAAGUCAAAGUGGUGGGGCCAGGAAGGCUCCUUUCUGGGGUCAGAGGAGACUCCAGGACCAUCCUUCAUGUAAUAUACCCAUUGUGCUGGUUCCUUAUCUAAAUAAAGGUAUCAGCCAACAUUGAGCAUUUACCGAGCUCCAGGCCCUGUGCUAGGUGCUUAGAUAAGUUACCUCCUGGAGUCCUCAAGCCAGUAGGCCUAGAUACUCUUAUUUUCUACCAUCUUACAAACGAAGAAACUGAAGGUCCGAGAGGGGAAACAACUGGCGUGAGUGCGCAUGCCUCUGAAGUGAUGGAGCUGGGAUUUCAUUUACUCACUUGCCCAUCGGAUGAGUUUAUUCUAUCCCUGCCACCCGCCAGGCCCUGAUCUGGAUGAUGAGGGGCCAGCAGUGAGCAGCACAGACAGGCCUUUGCGUCAUGAGCCUUAGAUCUCAUGGGGAGGGGAGCCACAGGGAACAAACAGACAAGAGAGCACCAGAGGGUGAGGGACGCUCUGCAGAGAGCCUAAAACACAGGGCAUGAUAGGAGCCAUGGGGAUUAUUUUGGAUUUGACAACCCCCGGGUCUGUCCAAUGCCAGUGCUGGAGCUCUUGGCCACUGGUCCUCACUGUCACUCCCUGCUGAGCUCCUGCAACUUUUGGUUGAGGCAUUUGCCCCAUUAUACCUUGUUUUAUGUACUUAUGUGCUUUUCUGGUUUUUUUUCUUAAGGGGUCAACCUCACCUUAUUCUUUUCUGUAUCCUAGUGGCACUGAGUACGUGCUAGAUGAUGACAGAUGGGAGAGAGCUGGGGAUUCCAUUGGAAGGGGCACCCAAGCCCAGGCAGUGGCACUGGCUGAGGAUGGCCAGUUGGGGCCUUGGCACCAUAAUGAGACCUUUUAGAGGUGAAGGCUGUGUUCUGGUGACACCAGUGAAGAGAAGGGUCAGCCAGUGCAGGGCCAGUGGGAGGAGCACAGUGUGGACGGAAGGGCUGGGACAGAGGAGCCAGCAGGAGCCCACAACAUGGUGCUCCUGCGAGGAGGUCAGGGCUUAGCCUAGAACAGCAGCAGGGGCGCAAAAAAACACCUGAGAAACUGUGUGAAGAGGCUGCUGCUGGACUUGGGUUGGAGGUGGCCCUGAGACUUUGAGAAUAGUUAUGCUAACAAAAAGGAGGAGGUUUAGAAGGAAAGCUGGUUGUGUGGGAGAUAAAAAGCCAAUAGCCUUCACUGAGUGCUCAUCAUGCAUGAGGCCCUGUGCUAAAAUCUCUGCCUUGUCUCACUGAAUUCCCAUUACAAUCCAGCAGGGUCAGUGUUCUCAUUAUGCCUGCUUUACAGACGAAGACCUAAGGCCAGAGGCUAAGCCAUUUGCCACACACCACAGAGGCAGUAAGUGGCCUAGACAGGGCUUGAUCUCCUGUCUGUCUGCCCAGUCUGUGCCCCUCCAACCACCCCACCCCCAAUCCACUACCUCCUGCUUUUAAUGACUUGGAUGUGGAAUCAGUUACAUCUGAGAACAAACGACAUAGUCUAGGGGCUGCAGCCCUGGGGAGAAUGUGUGCCUGAGCCCGUGAAUUUAGGGUUUGGGGCACAAAGCAAAAUUUGGAGCUAUAGAAGUGGGGUUUUACUAAGGAGAGAAGAGCCAAGAAAUUGAAGAAUAAUCUGAGGUGGGAGAGAGGGCAGGAGGCAGAAGAUGUCACCCAUCAGAGGCUGCAGAGGGCAGGAUGGAUAGAUGAGCAGAGGCCAAGGCCUUCGGUUGGGGAGAAGGAGAUCUUGGCUGAGCUCAAAGGGUGGUUUUCCUGGAAGCACAGGAGGCCAGGCUCUAAGGGUUGAGAAUACAAGGGAGGAAGUGAAAGGAGCAGGAGGCUCUUAGAGGGCUGGAGUUUUGAAAAUCAAGAAGGACCAAGGACACCAUCAGGUUGAGUGCCCUCCUCUCAAAUGCAGAAACUGAGGCCCAGAGAGAGGAGUUUGCCCCAGACCACGGAACUAGGUGUUCUGACACCCUUUUCAUUGCACCAUGCUGCCUCUCUUGACAUGAAGAACAGAGAAAGAAUAAAGUGUGAAGACAUGCCGUGGCGAUUUUAAGGUGCACAGACUUUAUCUGUUGGAGGCAGAAGGAUGCCUCGCUGGAGGUACGAGAGCGGUAAGGUUGAAAGAGAACCAGAACAUUAGUUCAGAUGUUGGCUGUGGCGUGUACCAGUCAAGGGACUUAAGUGACUUCACCCUGAGCCUCACUUUCAUCUUCUGUAAAAUGAUAAUUAUACCAUAAUGUCAAUAAUAUUAGGUUGAUGAAAAAGUAAUUGCAGUUUUUGCCAUUGGAAAUAAUGGCAUAUAAACCUGAGGCAUUUCAAUAGAGAGAGGAGACAUACCAAACACAGAGCUUCUCAACGGCUAUGAAAAGAUGAUGAGAAAGUCCCAGAGAAGAAAGAAUGGAGAGACUUUUCUUUCUUUUUUUUCUUUUCUUUUCUUUCUCACUUCCAUUGUAUUAUAAUCCCAGCCCCCAAUGUGCAUUGUGGGUGCUGGUGGGGCAGACAUGACCCUAUGGCACCUGCAUCACGGAGGGCCACAGCCUCCACAAAUGCUCACAACUUGUAAAAGUCUUUUCACAGGGUCAGCAUCCAGCCUGCCCACUACCGUUGCCCGUUAUCAUUGCAGGUUAAUUUUGUUGCAGCUAUUGAUGUGUACGAAGAUGGAGAAGCUGGUUUGCUGUUGUGUUACAACUACAGUUGCAUCUAUAAAAAGGUUUGCCCCUUUAAUGGUGGCUCUUUUUUGGUUCAACCUUCUGCGUCAGAUUUCCAGUUCUGUUGGAACCAGGCUCCCUAUGCAAUUGUCUGUGCUUUCCCAUAUCUCCUGGCCUUCACCACCGACUCCAUGGAGAUCCGCCUGGUGGUGAACGGGAACCUGGUCCACACCGCAGUCGUGCCGCAGCUGCAGCUGGUGGCCUCCAGGUCGGAUAUAUACUUCACAGCAACUGCAGCUGUGAAUGAGGUCUCAUCUGGAGGCAGCUCCAAGGGGGCCAGUGCCCGAAAUUCUCCUCAGACACCCCCGGGCCGAGAUACUCCAGUAUUUCCUUCUUCCCUGGGGGAAGGUGAAAUUCAAUCAAAAAAUCUGUACAAGAUUCCACUUAGAAACCUCGUGGGCAGAAGCAUCGAACGACCUCUGAAGUCGCCCUUAGUCUCCAAGGUCAUCACCCCACCCACUCCCAUCAGUGUGGGCCUCGCUGCCAUUCCAGUCACGCACUCCUUGUCCCUGUCUCGCAUGGAGAUCAAAGAAAUAGCAAGCAGGACCCGCAGGGAACUACUGGGCCUCUCGGAUGAAGGUGGACCCAAGUCAGAAGGAGCGCCAAAGGCCAAAUCAAAACCCCGGAAACGGUUAGAAGAAAGCCAAGGAGGCCCCAAGCCAGGGGCAGUGAGGUCAUCUAGCAGUGACAGGAUCCCAUCAGGCUCCUUGGAAAGUGCUCCUACUUCCGAAGCCAACCCUGAGGGGCACUCAGCCAGCUCUGACCAGGACCCUGUGGCAGACAGAGAGGGCAGCCCGGUCUCCGGCAGCAGCCCCUUCCAGCUCACGGCUUUCUCCGAUGAAGACAUUAUAGACUUGAAGUAACAGAGUUGACUCUCAUUUGCCAUCUUUAGUUUUCUUAUGGAGGUUUAUACUCUUUAAACAGUUCUGAUGUAAUUUCUCAACAAAAUGUGGCUUUUAGCCUGUCAGUGAUCUAUUGGACCAAACCUUCUGCACACUCGGCCAGUUCCCUCUCCAAUGUCCGGUGCCAUCUUUCCUGACCUUUGUUUCUUUCUGUUCAGGAACCAUCAGUCCCCUUGUAAUAAAGGUGGUAGAUUUCAUUGAGGUUUUAGAUUGAAACUUUGAAUAAAUCAAAAAUACUCAUUCUU
Molecule: small RNA, 4821 nt
Filed under: Pan troglodytes (chimpanzee)
Lineage: Eukaryota; Metazoa; Chordata; Mammalia; Primates; Hominidae
Description: retained intron
Source: RNAcentral